GCUGACUAUCUCAGGAGAGAUGGAGGAAAUCUAUGUCAAUGUUCAACAUGGCAAGUCAGUCAACAGAAGCUCUUCAACAAUUCAAACAGGUCCAAAGAGCUCUGAUGGGAAGUUUCACAAAGCUGUUAUUCUUACUUUGGGGCUGCUGAGUGUUUCCCUGUUGGUUGGGCUCAUUGGCCUUGGUCUUCACUCUUUUCAUUCAAAUGGCUGCUGACUUCCUCUGCCAGAAGAUCUUCAUAAACCACGCUGUAGUAAGGAGGACAACACUGGUGUCUUGAUCUACAAAAAGCUCUUCGCAUUUCAUAGAUGCUCCAAACACACACAAAAC
Oreochromis aureus is the source of this 328-nucleotide long non-coding RNA. NCBI's taxonomy places the organism in Eukaryota, Metazoa, Chordata, Actinopteri, Cichliformes, Cichlidae. The record is from Ensembl.